GACGAACGCUGGCGGCGUGCUUAACACAUGCAAGUCGAACGGUGACGAGGAGCUUGCUCCUCCGAUCAGUGGCGAACGGGUGAGUAACACGUGAGUAACCUGCCCCAGACUCUGGGAUAACAGUUGGAAACAGCUGCUAAUACCGGAUACGAGACGGAGAGGCAUCUCUACCGUCUGGAAAGUUUUUCGGUCUGGGAUGGACUCGCGGCCUAUCAGCUUGUGGUGAGGUAAUGGCUCGACCAAGGCGACGACGGGUAGCCGGCCUGAGAGGGCGACCGGCCACACUGGGACUGAGACACGGCCCAGACUCCUACGGGAGGCAGCAGUGGGGAAUAUUGCACAAUGGGCGAAAGCCUGAUGCAGCGACGCCGCGUGAGGGAUGACGGCCUCGGUUGUAACGUCUUCUAGCAGGAGAAGACGAAAGUGGCGGUAACGUGGCAGAAGGAAGACGACGGCGUAACUAACGUGCACGCAGCCGCGGAAACCGUAGACGU
RNAcentral lists this ribosomal RNA (494 nucleotides) under uncultured bacterium. RNAcentral describes it as "bacterial SSU rRNA". It matches the Rfam family "Bacterial small subunit ribosomal RNA", at positions 28 to 534 of the family's 1533-position model. The record is from RNAcentral.